AAGCAAGUGGCGGAAUUGGUAGACGCGCCUCCACUGGUGGGAGGCAGAUGUAGAGGGUUCGAGUCCCUUAACCGACAGGAUAGGCUACACGCCGCAGGUUCGAAUCCUGCCUUGCUUU
This 118-nucleotide transfer RNA is filed under the name Capnocytophaga canimorsus. RNAcentral's name for it is "tRNA-OTHER". It matches the Rfam family "tRNA". From Rfam's summary of the family: Transfer RNA (tRNA) molecules are approximately 80 nucleotides in length. Lineage: Bacteria; Pseudomonadati; Bacteroidota; Flavobacteriia; Flavobacteriales; Flavobacteriaceae. The record is from RNAcentral.